UUCCGGUUGAUCCUGCCGGAAGUUGCUGCUAUUGGGGUUCGACUAAGCCAUGCAAGUCUAGGGGGUGUUUCGGCACCACCGGCAAAAUGCUCAGUAACACGUUGCUAACCUGCCUUUAGAUUUGGGAUAACCUUGGGAAACUGAGGGUAAUACCGAAUAGAGGAAUUGUUCUGGAAAUGAUCUUUCCUUCAAAGCUCCGGCGUCUAAAGAUGGGGCAGCGGCGGAUUAGGUUGUUGGCGGGGUAAUUGCCCACCAAGCUGAUGAUCCGUACGGGCCGUGAGAGCGGAAGCCCGGAGAGGGACACUGAGAUACUGGUCCCAGCCCUACGGGGUGCAGCAGGCGCGAAACCUUUACAAUGCACGAAAGUGUGAUAAGGGAACCCCAAGUGCUCAUGCAUUGCAUGGGCUUUUGCCAAGUGUAAAUAGCUUGGAGAAUAAGUGGUGGGUAAGACUGGUGCCAGCAGCCGCGGUAACACCAGCGCCACGAGUGGGGACCAGCUUUAUUUGGCCUAAAGCGUCCGUAGCUGGUUAUGUAAAUCCUUUGUGAAAUCAUCAAGCUUAACUUGAUGGCUUGCAGGGGACACUGCAUAACUUGAGACCGGGAGGAGUUAGGGGUAUUCUAAGGGGAGCGGUAAAAUGCUAUAAUCCUUAGAGGACCACCUGUGGCGAAGGCGCCUAACUAGAACGGAUCUGACAGUGAGGGACGAAAGCUAGGGGAGCGAUCCGGAUUAGAUACCCGAGUAGUCCUAGCCGUAAACGCUGUGAGCAAGGCGUUGCAUAUUCUCCAUGAAUGUGCAGUGUCGAAACGAAGGUGUUAAGCUCACUGCUUGGGAAGUAUGGUCGCAAGACUGAAACUUAAAGGAAUUGGCGGGGGAGCACCACAAGGGGUGCGGCGUGCGGUUUAAUCUAACUCAACGCAGAGAACCUCACCAGAAGCGACGGCAGUAUGAAAGUCAGUCUAAAGGGCUUACUCGACGAGCCGAGAGGUAGUGCAUGGCCAUCGUCAGCUCGUGCCGUAAGGUGUCCUGUUAAGUCAGGCAACGAGCGAGACCCA
RNAcentral lists this ribosomal RNA (1053 nucleotides) under uncultured euryarchaeote. Its description in RNAcentral is "bacterial SSU rRNA". It matches the Rfam family "Archaeal small subunit ribosomal RNA", at positions 1 to 1054 of the family's 1478-position model. Lineage: Archaea; Methanobacteriati; Methanobacteriota. The record is from RNAcentral.